CUAACCUCUUGUUUUGCAAUCGCUUAGUGCUACCAAUAUUAGGUAAAAGUGUAAGGGGGAGAUUUUAAAUUUUUCAGCGCCUCUUUGAUUUCUCCCCCAAAUUAAAGCGGUAGUCAAUUAUUCAAUCGCUCCAAAACCUAAUCCUCCUCAAUUGAACCAUCUACCAUCCUCUACUCGCGCAUCACUUCCGACGAUCUUUCGAUUCUAGUGCUCAGUUGCUCCAAAACCUAACCAUCCUCAAUCACUCCGAAACCCUAAUCGCCCCAAAUGUAGCAUCCGUUUGACUUUAACAACAUGAUAAUCAUUUGAUUCUAGAGAUUUUAGACUCAGAAUUGUGACAUUGCUUUGGAGGGAUAUAAAUGAGAUAAGGAGAAUGUAGGCAAAUGUGAAUUGUUUAUUUUGGAGUUGAUGAAAGUUCUGUGUUCGAAAGCUAAACUAAGAGUUUUCUCUUAUAAGUUACAGUUUAGUGCACAGAUAUCAUGGCACGUACUAUGGAUUGAGGUAGUGCUCAAGCUAGUGGUCGAGGUGUUGGACGGGCAAGAUGGUGGUCAAGCUGGUGAACGAGGUGUUGGGUGAGGUAGUAGUCAAGGUAGCGGUCUAGUCGGUGAUUGAGGGAUUUGGCGUAGUGGUUGAGGUCGAGUUUGUUCUUCCUCAACCAACUCGAUCCGUUAUCAAUUCUUUAAUUCUGGAGUUAAUUACCUAAUUAGUCCUUGUGGUUUAUAUGAAGUAAUAAUGUUAGGUACUAA
Helianthus annuus (common sunflower) is the source of this 746-nucleotide long non-coding RNA. RefSeq lists it as uncharacterized. Lineage: Eukaryota; Viridiplantae; Streptophyta; Magnoliopsida; Asterales; Asteraceae. The transcript is spliced from 4 exons. The record is from RefSeq and is a predicted model, not a curated record.